GGUCUCGUAGCUCAGUUGAUGAGAGCGCUGGCUGUACGCAAGCCUUGUCCUUGCUAUUGUAGGUUCAAAUCCUACCAAGACCA
Molecule: transfer RNA, 83 nt
Filed under: Schistocephalus solidus
Lineage: Eukaryota; Metazoa; Platyhelminthes; Cestoda; Diphyllobothriidea; Diphyllobothriidae
Rfam family: tRNA
About the family: Transfer RNA (tRNA) molecules are approximately 80 nucleotides in length.
Source: Rfam by way of RNAcentral